ACAGGGAUUACCUCAGUAACGGCGAGUGAAGCGGUAAAUGCUCAAAUUUGAAAGCUGCCAUCAGGCCGCGUUGUAAUUUGUAGAAGAUGCUUUGGGUGUCGGCCCAGUCUAAGUUCCUUGGAACAGGACGUCAUAGAGGGUGAGAAUCCCGUAUGUGAUUGGUGCCGUCCCCCGUGUAAAGCUCUUUCGACGAGUCGAGUUGUUUGGGAAUGCAGCUCAAAAUGGGUGGUAAAUUUCAUCUAAAGCUAAAUAUUGGCCAGAGACCGAUAGCGCACAAGUAGAGUGAUCGAAAGAUGAAAAGCACUUUGGAAAGAGAGUUAAACAGUACGUGAAAUUGUUGAAAGGGAAGCGCUUGCAAUCAGACUUGCAGACGGUUGAUCAAUCGAGGUUCUCCCCGGUGCACUCGAUCGUCUUCAGGCCAGCAUCGGUUUCAGUGGCGGGAUAAAGGCUGUGAGAAUGUGGCUCUUCGGAGUGUUAUAGCUCACGGUGCAAUGCCGCCUACUGGGACCGAGGACCGCGCUUCGGCUAGGAUGCUGGCGUAAUGGUUGUAAGCGACCCGUCUUGAAACACGGACCAAGGAGUCUAACAUCUAUGCGAGUGUUUGGGUGUUAAACCCAUACGCGUAAUGAAAGUGAACGGAGGUGAGAACCCUUUAGGGCGCAUCAUCGACCGAUCCUGAUGUCUUCGGAUGGAUUUGAGUAAGAGCAUAGCUGUUGGGACCCGAAAGAUGGUGAACUAUGCGUGAAUAGGGUGAAGCCAGAGGAAACUCUGGUGGAGGCUCGCAGCGGUUCUGACGUGCAAAUCGAUCGUCAAAUUUGCGUAUAGGGGCGAAAGACUAAUCGAACCAUUGGAACACUACUAGGUGGUUAAGAGGCAAGUGAUCUAGUCCGCCGAAUGGCGGGCAACACUCUCAAAUUGCGGGGAC
This 925-nucleotide ribosomal RNA is filed under the name Mollisia cf. cinerea. Its description in RNAcentral is "partial large subunit ribosomal RNA". It matches the Rfam family "Eukaryotic large subunit ribosomal RNA", at positions 68 to 1398 of the family's 3401-position model. Lineage: Eukaryota; Fungi; Ascomycota; Leotiomycetes; Helotiales; Mollisiaceae. The record is from RNAcentral.